Molecule: unclassified non-coding RNA, 117 nt
Organism: Callithrix jacchus (white-tufted-ear marmoset)
Lineage: Eukaryota; Metazoa; Chordata; Mammalia; Primates; Cebidae
Rfam family: Metazoan signal recognition particle RNA
About the family: The signal recognition particle (SRP) is a universally conserved ribonucleoprotein.
Source: Ensembl
GCCGGGCGUGGUGGCUCACGCCUGUAAUCCCAGCACUUUGGGAGGCCGAGGCGGGUUGAUCACCUGAGGUCAGGAGUUCGAGGCGAGCCUGACCAACAUGGUGAAACCCCAUCUCUC